This 497-nucleotide ribosomal RNA is filed under the name uncultured bacterium. Its description in RNAcentral is "partial 16S ribosomal RNA". It matches the Rfam family "Bacterial small subunit ribosomal RNA", at positions 28 to 507 of the family's 1533-position model. The record is from RNAcentral.
GAUGAACGCUGGCGGCGUGCCUAAUACAUGCAAGUCGAGCGAACAGAUGAGGAGCUUGCUACACUGACGUUAGCGGCGGACGGGUGAGUAACACGUGGAUAACCUACCUAUAAGACUGGGAUAACUUCGGGAAACCGGAGCUAAUACCGGAUAAUAUAUUGAACCGCAUGGUUCAAUAGUGAAAGACGGUUUUGCUGUCACUUAUAGAUGGAUCCGCGCCGCAUUAGCUAGUUGGUAAGGUAACGGCUUACCAAGGCAACGAUGCGUAGCCGACCUGAGAGGGUAAUAGGACACGCUGGAACUGAGACACGGUCCAGACUCCUACGGGAGGCAGCAGUAGAGAAUCUUACGCAAUGGGCGAAAGCCUGACGGAGCAACGCCGCGUGAGUGAUGAAGGUCUUCGGAUCGUAAAACUCUGUUAUUAGGGAAGAACAAAUGUGUAAGUAACUAUGCACGUCUUGACGGUACCUAAUCAGAAAGCCACGGCUAACUACGUG